CCUACGGGUGGCAGCAGUCGAGAAUCAUUCACAAUGGGGGAAACCCUGAUGGUGCGACGCCGCGUGGGGGACUGAAGGUCUUCGGAUUGUAAACCCCUGUCAUGUGGGAGCAAAUUAAAAUGAUAGUACCACAAGAGGAAGAGACGGCUAACUCUGUGCGAGCAGCCGCGGUACUACAGAGGUCUCAAGAGUUGUUCGGAAUCACUGGGCGUAAAGCGUGCGUAGGCUGUUUCGUAAGUCGUGUGUGAAAGGCGCGGGCUCAACCCGCGGACGGCACAUGAUACUGCGAGACUAGAGUAAUGGAGGGGGAAGCGGAAUUCUCGGUGUAGCAGUGAAAUGCGUAGAUAUCGAGAGGAACACUCGUGGCGAAGGCGGGUUCCUGGACAGUAACUGACGCUGAGGCACGAAGGCCAGGGGAGCGAAAGGGAUUAGAUACCCGGGUAGUC
This 446-nucleotide ribosomal RNA is filed under the name uncultured bacterium. RNAcentral describes it as "partial 16S ribosomal RNA". It matches the Rfam family "Bacterial small subunit ribosomal RNA", at positions 338 to 795 of the family's 1533-position model. The record is from RNAcentral.